RNAcentral lists this ribosomal RNA (497 nucleotides) under uncultured bacterium. Its description in RNAcentral is "partial 16S ribosomal RNA". It matches the Rfam family "Bacterial small subunit ribosomal RNA", at positions 28 to 507 of the family's 1533-position model. The record is from RNAcentral.
GAUGAACGCUGGCGGCGUGCCUAAUACAUGCAAGUCGAGCGAACGGACGAGAAGCUUGCUUCUCUGAUGUUAGCGGCGGACGGGUGAGUCACACGUGGAUAACCUACCUAUAAGACUGGGAUAACUUCGGGAAACCGGAGCUACUACCGGAUAAUAUUUUGAACCGCAUGGUUCAAAAGUGAAAGACGGUCUUGCUGUCACUUAUAGAUGGAUCCGCGCUGCAUUAGCUAGUUGGUAAGGUAACGGCUUACCAAGGCAACGAUGCAUAGCCGACCUGAAAGGGUGAUCGGCUAGACUGGAAGUGAGGCACGGCCCAGACUCCUACGGGAGGCAGCAGUAGGGAAUCUUCCGCGAUGGGCGAAAGCCUGACGGAGCAACGCCGCGUGAGUGAUGAAGGUCUUCGGAUCGUAAAACUCUGUUAUUAGGGAAGAACAUAUGUGUAAGUAACUGUGCACAUCUUGACGGUACCGAAUCAGAAAGCCACGGCUAACUACGUG